Molecule: ribosomal RNA, 254 nt
Filed under: uncultured bacterium
Lineage: Bacteria
Description: partial 16S ribosomal RNA
Rfam family: Bacterial small subunit ribosomal RNA
Source: RNAcentral
GACGUAGGGCGCGAGCGUUGUCCGGAAUUAUUGGGCGUAAAGAGCUCGUAGGCGGUGUGUCACGUCGGCCGUGAAAACCUGCAGCUUAACUGUGGGCGUGCGGUCGAUACGGGCAUCACUGGAGUUCGGCAGGGGAGACUGGAAUUCCUGGUGUAGCGGUGAAAUGCGCAGAUAUCAGGAGGAACACCGGUGGCGAAGGCGGGUCUCUGGGCCGAUACUGACGCUGAGGAGCGAAAGCCAGGGGAGCAAACGGG